GGGGAUUUAGCUCAGUGGUUCUGGAGCCUGCCUAGCAAGCGCAAGGUCCCGAGUUCGAUUCCCGGUACCCCCC
Heterocephalus glaber (naked mole-rat) is the source of this 73-nucleotide non-coding RNA. The record is from Rfam. Lineage: Eukaryota; Metazoa; Chordata; Mammalia; Rodentia; Bathyergidae.